RNAcentral lists this ribosomal RNA (497 nucleotides) under uncultured bacterium. Its description in RNAcentral is "partial 16S ribosomal RNA". It matches the Rfam family "Bacterial small subunit ribosomal RNA", at positions 28 to 507 of the family's 1533-position model. The record is from RNAcentral.
GAUGAACGCUGGCGGCGUGCCUAAUACAUGCAAGUCGAGCGAACAGACGAGGAGCUUGCUCCUCUGACGUUAGCUGCGGACGGGUGAGUAACACGUGGAUAACCUACCUAUAAGACUGGGAUAACUUCGGGAAACCGGAGCUAAUACCGGAUAAUAUAUUGAACCGCAUGGUUCAAUAGUGAAAGACGGUUUUGCUGUCACUUAUAGAUUGAUCCGCGCCGCAUUAGCUAGUUGGUAAGGUAACGGCUUACCAAGGCAACGAUGCGUAGCCGACCUGAGAGGGUGAUCGGACACACUGGAACUGAGACACGGUCCAGACUCCUACGGGAGGCAGCAGUAGGGAAUCUUCCGCAAUGGGCGAAAGCUUGACGGAGCAACGCCGCGUGAGUGAUGAAGGUCUUCGGAUCGUAAAACUCUGUUAUUAGGGAAGAACAAAUGUGUAAGUAACUAUGCACGUCUUGACGGUACCUAAUCAGAAAGCCACGGCUAACUACGUG